Molecule: small RNA, 590 nt
Filed under: Pongo abelii (Sumatran orangutan)
Lineage: Eukaryota; Metazoa; Chordata; Mammalia; Primates; Hominidae
Description: retained intron
Source: RNAcentral
AAAAGAGACUCAUAAAGCUGUAGGGGGUUGGGGGGGCACUGGCACAGGUGUAGAAAAUGAAGCAUGAAGGUCCCCUGACUUGCCCAAGGUCCCCCAACUUGGGAUCCUUUUCAGGAGGAGCCCAGCAGCGCCUCUUCCCCUGGUCCUCGUCCCUGGAGCCGAGGGUCAGAGGAUGGUCCUGGGGCCCAAGCAGCCCUGUGUGGCUUCCUGGGGGUGUGCAUCAGCCCCGUCCCUCCCCAAGGAGGCGGGCAUGUGCUGGAGGGCGGGCAUGUCUGAGGGCCCUGUCUCCAUAGCACGAAGGUGGAGCAGGUUCGGGCCCACCUGGGCACUGCAUCCCUCCUGGGCCUGGGCGGAAGCCCAGUGAAGAUCGGGCUGCGGCGGGUGGUGCUGCACCCACUCUACAACCCUGGCAUCCUGGACUUCGACCUGGCUGUCCUGGAGCUGGCCAGCCCCCUGGCCUUCAACAAAUACAUCCAGCCUGUCUGCCUGCCCCUGGCCAUCCAGAAGUUCCCUGUGGGCCGGAAGUGCAUGAUCUCCGGAUGGGGAAAUACGCAAGAAGGAAAUGCCACCAAGCCCGAGCUCCUGCAGAA